Molecule: ribosomal RNA, 254 nt
Filed under: uncultured bacterium
Lineage: Bacteria
Description: partial 16S ribosomal RNA
Rfam family: Bacterial small subunit ribosomal RNA
Source: RNAcentral
UACGUAGGGAGCGAGCGUUGUCCGGAUUUAUUGGGCGUAAAGAGCGCGUAGGCGGCUUGGUAAGCCGGAUGUGAAACCCCCGAGCUCAACUCGGGGCGGCCAUUCGGAACUGCCAUGGCUAGAGUCUGGUAGGGGAACACGGAAUACCUGGUGUAGCGGUGAAAUGCUUAGAUAUGACAUAGAACACCAAUUGCGAAGGCAGCUAUCUACAGGGAUAUUGACACUGAGGCACGAAAGCGUGGGGAUCAAACAGG